This 564-nucleotide ribosomal RNA is filed under the name uncultured bacterium. RNAcentral's name for it is "bacterial SSU rRNA". It matches the Rfam family "Bacterial small subunit ribosomal RNA", at positions 338 to 916 of the family's 1533-position model. The record is from RNAcentral.
CCUACGGGAGGCAGCAGUGGGGAAUCUUGCGCAAUGGGCGAAAGCCUGACGCAGCAACGCCGCGUGCGGGAUGAAGGCCUUCGGGCUGUAAACCGCUUUCAGCAGGAACGAAAAUGACGGUACCUGCAGAAGAAGGAGCGGCCAACUACGUGCCAGCAGCCGCGGUGACACGUAGGCUCCAAGCGUUGUCCGGAUUUAUUGGGCGUAAAGAGCUCGUAGGCGGUCUAGUAAGUCGGGUGUGAAAACUCUGGGCUCAACCCGGAGACGCCAUCCGAUACUGUUAUGACUUGAGUUCAGGAGGGGAGCGGGGAAUUCCUAGUGUAGCGGUGAAAUGCGCAGAUAUUAGGAGGAACACCGGUGGCGAAGGCGCCGCUCUGGACUGAAACUGACGCUGAGGAGCGAAAGCAUGGGUAGCAAACAGGAUUAGAUACCCUGGUAGUCCAUGCCGUAAACGGUGGGCACUAGGUGUGGGUUUCAACUAACGAAAUCCGCGCCGUCGCUAACGCAUUAAGUGCCCCGCCUGGGGAGUACGGUCGCAAGACUAAAACUCAAAUGAAUUGACGG